CGGGGGACAGUGGCGAACGGGUGAGUAACACGUAAGUAACCUGCCCGGAAGUGGGGAAUAACCCGCCGAAAGGCGAGCUAAUACCGCAUGUGCUGGUCUUUCCCUGGAGGGACCAGCAAAGGCUUUAGGUCGCUUCCGGAGGGGCUUGCGGCCGAUUAGCUAGUUGGUGGGGUAAUAGCCUACCAAGGCGACGAUCGGUAGCUGGUCUGAGAGGACGGUCAGCCACACGGGGACUGAGAUACGGCCCCGACUCCUACGGGAGGCAGCAGCUAGGAAUCUUGGGAAUGCGCGCAAGCGUGACCCAGCAACGCCGCGUGGGCGAUGAAGGCCUUCGGGUUGUAAAGCCCUUUUGCGAGGGAAGAUUAUGACGGUACGUCGCGAAUAAGCCACGGCUA
This 395-nucleotide ribosomal RNA is filed under the name uncultured bacterium. Its description in RNAcentral is "bacterial SSU rRNA". It matches the Rfam family "Bacterial small subunit ribosomal RNA", at positions 86 to 499 of the family's 1533-position model. The record is from RNAcentral.